UUAUAUAAGUUAUCGUUUAUUUGAUAGUACUUUACUACUUGGAUAACCGUGGUAAUUCUAGAGCUAAUACAUGCUAAAAAUCCCGACUUCGGAAGGGAUGUAUUUAUUAGAUUAAAAACCAAUGCCCUUUGGGCUCCUUGGUGAAUCAUGAUAACUUCUCGAAUCGCAUGGCCUUGCGCCGGCGAUGGUUCAUUCAAAUUUCUUCCCUAUCAACUUUCGAUGUUUGGGUAUUGGCCAAACAUGGUCGCAACGGGUAACGGAGGGUUAGGGCUCGACCCCGGAGAAGGAGCCUGAGAAACGGCUACUACAUCCAAGGAAGGCAGCAGGCGCGCAAAUUACCCAAUCCCGACUCGGGGAGGUAGUGACAAUAAAUACUGAUACGAGGCUCUUUUGGGCCUUGUAAUUGGAAUGAGUACAAUUUAAAUCUCUUAACGAGGAACAAUUGGAGGGCAAGUCUGGUGCCAGCAGCCGCGGUAAUUCCAGCUCCAAUAGCGUAUAUUAAAGUUGUUGUGGUUAAAAAGCUCGUAGUUGAACCUUGGGCCUGGCUGGCCGGUCCGCCUCACCGCGUGUACUGGUCCGGCCGGGCCUUUCCCUCUGUGGAACCUCAUGCCCUUCACUGGGUGUGACGGGGAAGCAGGACUUUUACUGUGAAAAAAUUAGAGUGCUCCAAGCAGGCCUAUGCUCGAAUACAUUAGCAUGGAAUAAUAAAAUAGGACGUGCGGUUCUAUUUUGUUGGUUUCUAGGACCGCCGUAAUGAUUAAUAGGGACAGUCGGGGGCAUCAGUAUUCAAUUGUCAGAGGUGAAAUUCUUGGAUUUAUUGAAGACUAACUACUGCGAAAGCAUUUGCCAAGGAUGUUUUCAUUAAUCAGGAACGAAAGUUAGGGGAUCGAAGACGAUCAGAUACCGUCGUAGUCUUAACCAUAAACUAUGCCGACUAGGGAUCGGACGAUGUUAUUUUU
This 959-nucleotide ribosomal RNA is filed under the name Leptobacillium chinense. RNAcentral describes it as "SSU rRNA". It matches the Rfam family "Eukaryotic small subunit ribosomal RNA", at positions 101 to 1070 of the family's 1831-position model. The record is from RNAcentral. Lineage: Eukaryota; Fungi; Ascomycota; Sordariomycetes; Hypocreales; Cordycipitaceae.